This 218-nucleotide ribosomal RNA is filed under the name uncultured bacterium. Its description in RNAcentral is "partial 16S ribosomal RNA". It matches the Rfam family "Bacterial small subunit ribosomal RNA", at positions 116 to 334 of the family's 1533-position model. The record is from RNAcentral.
CGUGGAUAACCUGCCUCACACAGGGGAGUAACAGUUAGAAAUGACUGCUAAUAUCGCAUAAGCGCACGGCAUCGCAUGAUGCAGUGUGAAAAACUCCGGUGGUGUGAGAUGGAUCCGCGUCUGAUUAGGUAGUUGGUGGGGUAACGGCCCACCAAGCCGACGAUCAGUAGCCGACCUGAGAGGGUGACCGGCCACAUUGGGACUGAGACACGGCCCAA